This 255-nucleotide ribosomal RNA is filed under the name uncultured bacterium. RNAcentral describes it as "partial 16S ribosomal RNA". It matches the Rfam family "Bacterial small subunit ribosomal RNA", at positions 793 to 1055 of the family's 1533-position model. The record is from RNAcentral.
GUCCACGCCGUAAACGAUGGAUACUAGCUGUUGGGAGCAAUCUCAGUGGCUAAGCGAAAGUGAUAAGUAUCCCACCUGGGGAGUACGAACGCAAGUUUGAAACUCAAAGGAAUUGACGGGGGCCCGCACAAGCGGUGGAGCAUGUGGUUUAAUUCGAUGAUACGCGAGGAACCUUACCAAGGCUUAAAUGCAGACUGACCGAUUUGGAAACAGAUCUUUCGCAAGACAGUUUACAAGGUGCUGCAUGGUUGUCGU